RNAcentral lists this ribosomal RNA (690 nucleotides) under uncultured Acidobacteriota bacterium. RNAcentral describes it as "bacterial SSU rRNA". It matches the Rfam family "Bacterial small subunit ribosomal RNA", at positions 15 to 737 of the family's 1533-position model. The record is from RNAcentral. Lineage: Bacteria; Pseudomonadati; Acidobacteriota.
GAUCCUGGCUCAGAAUCAACGCUGGCGGCGUGCCUAACACAUGCAAGUCGCACGAGAAAGGGGCUUCGGCCCUGAGUAAAGUGGCGCACGGGUGAGUAACACGUGAAUUAUCUACCUCCGAGUGGGGAAUAACUGAGAGAAAUCUUGGCUAAUACCGCAUAACACUUACGAGUCAAAGCAGCAAUGCGCUUGGAGAGGAGUUCGCGGCAGAUUAGUUAGUUGGCAGGGUAAUGGCCUACCAAGACGAUGAUCUGUAUCCGGCCUGAGAGGGCGCACGGACACACUGGAACUGAAACACGGUCCAGACUCCUACGGGAGGCAGCAGUGGGGAAUUUUGCGCAAUGGGGGAAACCCUGACGCAGCAACGCCGCGUGGAGGAUGAAAUCCCUUGGGAUGUAAACUCCUUUCGAUAGGGAAGAUAAUGACGGUACCUAUAGAAGAAGCCCCGGCUAACUUCGUGCCAGCAGCCGCGGUAAUACGAGGGGGGCAAGCGUUGUUCGGAUUUAUUGGGCGUAAAGGGUGCGUAGGCGGUUUGGCAAGUCUUGUGUGAAAUCUUCGGGCUCAACCCGAAGCCUGCAUAAGAAACUGCCGGGCUUGAGUAUGGGAGAGGUGAGUGGAAUUUCCGGUGUAGCGGUGAAAUGCGUAGAUAUCGGAAGGAACACCUGUGGCGAAAGCGGCUCACUGGACCAU